Molecule: long non-coding RNA, 349 nt
Organism: Arabidopsis thaliana (thale cress)
Lineage: Eukaryota; Viridiplantae; Streptophyta; Magnoliopsida; Brassicales; Brassicaceae
Product: other RNA
Exons: 1
Source: RefSeq
GGCUUAUAUUAGUGCGGUGUAGUUAGGACGAAUAUGCCAAGUCUUAGUGGGAGUAAAUUAAAAGAUCCUAAAAAAGUCACUCCAAAAAAGAAUAAUUAAAACGUCAAUUUGCAUGCCUUCUUCGUUGCCUACUUUAAUUUCCCGUUACAUUGAGUAUUGUGAAUCCAUUAUAACAUUCGAUGACAUGGCGUAGUGAUAGCCGUUGAUCUGCUUCACGACAAGCUCCAAACAAUCUUGAGGGUAGUGGUAGAUGUUGUUUUCUGGAAACAGUUUCUCUCAUGUUGGUGAGUUGGUGUGAGCCUGAGGCUGCUCACGAGGAAGGAGCGGGAGAGCCUUCACCAAAAAUGAU